RNAcentral lists this ribosomal RNA (685 nucleotides) under uncultured fungus. Its description in RNAcentral is "eukaryotic LSU rRNA". The stretch from base 258 to 411 matches the Rfam family "5.8S ribosomal RNA". The record is from RNAcentral. Lineage: Eukaryota; Fungi.
AAGUCGUAACAAGGUUUCCGUAGGUGAACCUGCGGAAGGAUCAUUAUUGAAAGAAACCUUCAGACAAGGGAAGUUGGUUGUAGCUGGCCCCUAGGGGCAUGUGCACACUUUGUCUCUCUUGUCUGUUUCUUCAUUUUCUCCACUUGUGCACUGCUUGUAGGCAGCUCUGGCAUUGUUCAAGGCUGUCUAUGAUUUUCUUACAUACAUUUAUGAACCAUUGUUGCACAGAAUGUAAUAAAAAAAAAAGAGUUUAAUACAACUUUCAACAACGGAUCUCUUGGCUCUCGCAUCGAUGAAGAGCGCAGCGAAAUGCGAUAAGUAAUGUGAAUUGCAGAAUUCAGUGAAUCAUCGAAUCUUUGAACGCAUCUUGUGCUCCUUGGCAUUCCGAGGAGCAUGCCUGUUUGAGUGUCAUUAAAUUCUGUCAAAACCCCAUGCACUUUUUGAGUGUUGUGUGUUUUGGAUUGUGGGAGUGUCCUGCUGGCUUUUUAGGCCAGCUCUCCUUAAGAACAUUAGCUUUGGGGAGGAAGUGCUUCACUUCUGCUUUUCCAUUGGUGUGAUAAGACUUUAAUGUAUCUACACCAGGAAAGCAGGUUUUUAAAGUGCUUUGUAAUCUCUCUGCUGUCUAACUGUGACUUUUGUCUGAAAACUUGACCUCAAAUCAGGUAGGACUACCCGCUGAACUUAA